This 431-nucleotide ribosomal RNA is filed under the name uncultured bacterium. RNAcentral describes it as "bacterial SSU rRNA". It matches the Rfam family "Bacterial small subunit ribosomal RNA", at positions 78 to 507 of the family's 1533-position model. The record is from RNAcentral.
CUUCGGAAAUGAGAGAGCGGCGUACGGGUGCGGAACACGUGUGCAACCUACCUUUAUCUGGAGGAUAGCCUUUCGAAAAGGAAGAUUAAUACUCCAUAAUAUAUUGACUGGCAUCAGUUGAUAUUGAAAGCUCCGGCGGAUAAAGAUGGGCACGCGCAAGAUUAGCUAGUUGGUGAGGUAACGGCUCACCAAGGCGAUGAUCUUUAGGGGCCUGAGAGGGUGAUCCCCCCACACUGGUACUGAGACACGGACCAGACUCCUACGGGAGGCAGCAGUGAGGAAUAUUGGUCAAUGGGUGCAAGCCUGAACCAGCCAUCCCCGCGUGAAGGACGACUGCCCUAUGGGUUGUAAACUUCUUUUGUAUAGGGAUAAACCUACUCUCGUGAGGGUAGCUGAAGGUACUAUACGAAUAAGCACCGGCUAACUCCGUG